CCUACGGGUGGCUGCAGUGGGGAAUAUUGGGCAAUGGGCGCAAGCCUGACCCAGCAACGCCGCGUGAAGGAAGAAGGCUUUCGGGUUGUAAACUUCUUUUAAGAGGGAAGAGCAGAAGACGGUACCUCUUGAAUAAGCCACGGCUAACUACGUGCCAUCAGCCGCGGUAAUACGUAGGUGGCAAGCGGUGUCCGGAUUUACUGGGUGUAAAGGGCGUGUAGCCGGGCUGACAAGUCAGAUGUGAAAACCGGGGGCUCAACCCCCGAACUGCAGUUGAAACUGUUGGUCUUGAGUAUCGGAGAGGCAGGCGGAAUUCCUAGUGUAGCGGUGAAAUGCGUAGAUAUUAGGAGGAACACCAGUGGCGAAGGCGGCCUGCUGGACGACAACUGACGGUGAGGCGCGAAAGCGUGGGGAGCGAACAGGAUUAGAUACCCUAGUAGUC
RNAcentral lists this ribosomal RNA (442 nucleotides) under uncultured bacterium. RNAcentral's name for it is "partial 16S ribosomal RNA". It matches the Rfam family "Bacterial small subunit ribosomal RNA", at positions 338 to 795 of the family's 1533-position model. The record is from RNAcentral.